UACGGGGGGGGCAAGCGUUGUUCGGAAUUACUGGGCGUAAAGGGCGCGUAGGCGGUUCGCUAAGUUGGAUGUGAAAACUCUGGGCUUAACCCAGAGCCUGCAUCCAAAACUGGCAAGCUAGAGUUUUGGAGGGGGAAGCGGAAUUCCUGGUGUAGCAGUGAAAUGCGUAGAUAUCAGGAGGAACACCGGUGGCGAAGGCGGCUUCCUGGACAAAAACUGACGCUGAGGCGCGAAAGCUAGGGGAGCAAACAGG
RNAcentral lists this ribosomal RNA (253 nucleotides) under uncultured bacterium. RNAcentral describes it as "partial 16S ribosomal RNA". It matches the Rfam family "Bacterial small subunit ribosomal RNA", at positions 524 to 776 of the family's 1533-position model. The record is from RNAcentral.